Long non-coding RNA from Apus apus (common swift), 752 nucleotides. RefSeq lists it as uncharacterized. The transcript has 3 exons. Lineage: Eukaryota; Metazoa; Chordata; Aves; Apodiformes; Apodidae. The record is from RefSeq and is a predicted model, not a curated record.
UCUCCCCUCCACCAGUGCAAUCCCUGUUCGCAGCCUCUGAAGCAGAAACCCUCCUUCCUUCCGCGCCAGGGAAAGCCAAGCAGGGUUUCUUUUUGCCGUCUCAUGUUGGAGGUGGAGUUUUUCAGAACGGUAGCUCUGCCACGUCAGGUGUUUACACAAGCUCAGCAGCCAUUCUCAUGGCUGUAACAAGAAACUUUCAAGGGCAGAAAACUCUGGGACAAUUUUUUUCGCUGAGACAGAGAAGCAGAAAGAAAAAAUGGGUGGAGAGCGGGGACAAAGUGUGAGCACACUGAGGGUAUCAUGCAAAUACCUAAGGAUUUUGUGUUCCUAAAGAGCCCAGAGCCCUGGAGGCAACGCCUGCACCCUCCCUCCCUGGCUCCACUUUAAGUCACUCCUUGAUUGACCCAACAUUUCAAACAACAGACUUUGACCUCUGGAAGCCAGUCCUACAAUAUUUACAUGUCCGAGAAAUAUUUGCUCACUGAGAGAGCUCCGGGGAAUGGAAGAUGACAAAUUUUGCCAGAGGAAUUUUGUACCUGUGUACAGGGCACAGGAGCUGCUGCCUGUUUGACCUCAAGAACAGCCACAGAAGGAGGUUCAGGAGGUGAAGGCCAGCAGCUGGAGGCCAUAACCCCUGAAUGCCAGGUCCUUUGGAAGAGCAAUGGUGUCCUUCCAGGCACCAGCUUCCUCCUGUGAUAUUCAGCUGGCAUUGAUUUUCUCUCAAUAUACAUUAGAUGCUGUUUCCUUCACCA